Molecule: small nuclear RNA, 104 nt
Organism: Octopus sinensis (East Asian common octopus)
Lineage: Eukaryota; Metazoa; Mollusca; Cephalopoda; Octopoda; Octopodidae
Source: RefSeq, a predicted model, not a curated record
GUUUUUGACAAGCAAUAUAUAUAUAUAAAAAUUGGAACGAUACAGAGAAGAUCAACAUGGCCACUACGCAAGGAUGACAAAUUCGGGAAGCGCUCCAUAUUUUU